This 26-nucleotide non-coding RNA is filed under the name Cricetulus griseus (Chinese hamster). The record is from RNAcentral. Lineage: Eukaryota; Metazoa; Chordata; Mammalia; Rodentia; Cricetidae.
UGACUGUGUGACUGGGCAAGUGACCA